GCAAAUAGUGAGCCAAACCUCCCCCCAUGUAUACCCCACCCUCCGUCAAUUCGACUAUGAAACAGGGCCGUAAUAAGAUUCCGAAAAGUAGGGCGUUGGUUAAUUCUUGAAUAAAAAUAUGUAUAACAGCAAAAAUAGGUUGAACACCUGAUGCGGCUUCACUUGCUAUAGGUGCAGGGGGAGGAAUACCUGGUGCCGUUAUUUGAGGAGCAUCAGGUGGAGGAGCAGCAGUAAUUGGAAAACUAAAACCUGGUGGAGGUAUAGAAAACUGUGGAGGCAUUAUACCGGGUGGGCCAGGUGGUAAACUAGGAGGAGGUAUAAAAGGUGCAGUAGGCAUAAUAGGUGGCACA
Long non-coding RNA from Bombus pyrosoma, 350 nucleotides. RefSeq lists it as uncharacterized. The transcript is spliced from 3 exons. The record is from RefSeq and is a predicted model, not a curated record. NCBI's taxonomy places the organism in Eukaryota, Metazoa, Arthropoda, Insecta, Hymenoptera, Apidae.